Long non-coding RNA from Ostrea edulis (European flat oyster), 572 nucleotides. RefSeq lists it as uncharacterized. The record is from RefSeq and is a predicted model, not a curated record. The transcript has 3 exons. NCBI's taxonomy places the organism in Eukaryota, Metazoa, Mollusca, Bivalvia, Ostreida, Ostreidae.
UUUUGGGAUCAUAUAAAAAUAUAUCGGAAUAUUGCCUUUAUUCUACGCUUAGAAUUAGUCAAAUUUCCCUGAUUUGACAACACAUCACAAGGCAUUAUGAUAAGAAAUACCCUGGUGAAGUUUGUCGUAUGGUUGGAAUCAGCGUCUAAAAUACGCUUACUAGGCACAUGGCAAAGACGACGUUCAGAAGAUGUCGGCUGUAUAACUUUGAAAUCGGAAAAAACAAGAUGUGCAUGAUACCAAAAAGAAUAUGAACUUUUACAAGAGCAUAUUUCCAAUUUUCCACAUCUCUAGAGCAGUGGCAACAAAUGUACAUACAAGUACCCACAGAUGACAGCCAUAUUGACUCCAGUGGAUAAUAUUUACCUCCAUCAGCUGGUUACUACACUGUACAUAGUGGUCAAACCAGGAUAUCCACUAAUUGCUUUCAGUGAUGUGAAUUGUCAUCUACAUUUGUGCUUAGGAACUUUAGUAAACUGUCAAGUUUUAAUAUGAAGAAAAUGACUGCUGAAAAAGCAUCUAAUCUUGUGUUCUAUGAAUGUUUUCAAUUAAACACAAAACAAAAUGAGAAA